CCGAUCUUGGGCUUCAAGCUUCAGAUUUCUGGAUUGCUUAGCACUCUUUACAUGUUUUUUAUUCACUUUUUAAAGACAUUUUAAUUAAUUUGGUGCUGACGAGGGAUUCCAGAUUGACAGCCUUGGAAACUGAGGUCAUUUGUUUGUCCACAAAACAGGUACCACCAAAGCAGCAGAACUGCCGGCUCCCCUAUCAAAGAGCCUUGGGCUCCCCUUUUAAAGCACCUCAACCGAGGCCAGAAAAAUCACCUUCUGCUCUGCCCUUUCUGGGGAGAAUUCAUUUUCCUAAUCAGGCCUCAACCCUGAUGCCAGGAUUGAUUAAAAAAAUGAGCAGGAGCUCACCCUGACCACAGUGCCACAAGAAUAUAUAUUAAAAUUUUGCUCGUUUUGCUGGUCACUCCUUUUUUACCACAAUAAAUGAUGUUUUGCUGUUGUUCUCCAAUGUUUUUUCCAUGAGGCCACAUGGCAUGGGCCCAGUCAGGCCCCAACAUGCUUCCCAAGGCCAGCUGUCCACCCCAGUAGAGACCAAGUGGUGGAUCUUCUCUCCCACUGGAGCAGCAGGGUACAUGGUCCAGUUGUGCUGUCCCAGGGCACAGGAGAUGAACAGCACUGCUACUUCUGUUGUGUUUUCAGUGUUCAUCUGACAGAGCAUGGGAGAAGAAGGAACCUUUCUGACAAGACUACAGAAGCCACGGUCACAGGAGUACUAAUGCAUCCAGAAAAGCUGCCUGUCAAGUUGGGCAAGCAAGGUUUAAUGCUAGCAGUACAAAAGGUGAGCAGCUGUGGUCACUCAGUUAUGGACAUGGAGGAAUGGACUCAUGGGGAGCUGAUGGUGUCCUUGCUCUCAGUCUGCUGGAGAGGGAGCUGCCAUGCAGACUUCAGGUAAAUGGGACUCACAGCAAAGCCUAGAAGUACUAGAAAUGCACCAACAAUUCUACCCCUGAUUAAUUCAUCAGUACUUCCAUACAUGACUUAUCAAUAAUUGUCCCCAAAAUUCUGGCAGCACUUAUGUUCCCCUAUCUUUCCCUCCUUUUGGUCGAGCCACUGUGCUAUAUGUUCAGUUUUUGAUUCUCUUUCCCUGUUCCUUUAAUGUCUUCUUGGUGCUGAGGGGGUGGGUAGGCAGGGUUUUCUUGGACCCCUUCUGUGGAACAGCUGUGAUUGUUUCCCAGGGAUGUGUGAGAGUUGGGAGAGAUAGUGAGGCAUGAUUUUUGCUAUAUGCUGAAAGGCUUUCUCCAUCAACCUGAAGAAGGACCUGAAACGUGGUGAAAAGGUAUAGAGUUGUCAGCUCCAAAACAAAAGCGUUUGCACAGUUGGGAAGUAACUGGACAGUGUCUG
RNAcentral lists this long non-coding RNA (1335 nucleotides) under Anas platyrhynchos platyrhynchos (common mallard). RNAcentral's name for it is "lncRNA (ENSAPLG00000029987.1)". Lineage: Eukaryota; Metazoa; Chordata; Aves; Anseriformes; Anatidae. The record is from RNAcentral.